GACGAACGCUGGCGGCGUGCCUAAUACAUGCAAGUAGAACGCUGAAGGAGGAGCUUGCUUCUCUGGAUGAGUUGCGAACGGGUGAGUAACGCGUAGGUAACCUGCCUGGUAGCGGGGGAUAACUAUUGGAAACGAUAGCUAAUACCGCAUAAUAGUAGAUGUUGCAUGACAUUUGCUUAAAAGGUGCAAUUGCAUCACUACCAGAUGGACCUGCGUUGUAUUAGCUAGUUGGUGGGGUAACGGCUCACCAAGGCGACGAUACAUAGCCGACCUGAGAGGGUGAUCGGCCACACUGGGACUGAGACACGGCCCAGCCUCCUACGGGAGGCAGCAGUAGGGAAUCUUCGGCGAUGGACGGAAGUCUGACCGAGCAACGCCGCGUGAGUGAAGAAGGUUUUCGGAUCGUAAAGCUCUGUUGUAAGAGAAGAACGAGUGUGAGAGUGGAAAGUUCACACUGUGACGGUAUCUUACCAGAAAGGGACGGCUAACUACGUG
RNAcentral lists this ribosomal RNA (495 nucleotides) under uncultured bacterium. Its description in RNAcentral is "partial 16S ribosomal RNA". It matches the Rfam family "Bacterial small subunit ribosomal RNA", at positions 28 to 507 of the family's 1533-position model. The record is from RNAcentral.